ACAGAAUGUGGAUGUACAUUCGCCAGUGUGUUUGGACCCAAUUUCUUGAGUCAGUGGAUUUGAGAUGUUGUUCAAACAUCUACUUAAAAGCAUGGCACACAAUAUGAGGGCAACGAGGACGUUUUGCAGCCCUUCUCGAUCUUUCCUGACUCUCUGAUGGAGAGGCACCAUCUGUGAGAGAGGCUUCCUGGUCUCUGUGGACAGAUGCCCAAUUCCCCAGGCCAUCGAUGCCUUUCUCACCACAUCCCCAUGAGCCCCAGAGUGGGCAGGAAUGGACUUCUAACAAAGCCACCGUCUACCUUAAGAAGCGGGAAGCUAACAAAAAGAGAUGACAUGUAUUACUUUGUUCCUUUUAGAAGCCUAAAUGAUAUGAUGCACAUGUUACCCUUCAUUGAAGAUUCUAGGUGAACAAACAACUUGGAUAUCAACAGGGAACAGAAAACCCACUAGCAGGACCAAAAGGCAGACCCCAUCAGCAGAACACAGGUGGCAGCUUCAACAAUUAAUUCCAAAACUGAAAGUCAAAUCCAGGAGAAGACAGGAAGCUCCAUUUUCUUUGAGCACUUAAUUGUAAAUUAAGAUUUGCUGAUGAUGACGGGCUAAUUUAAGCUACCAUGGAAAGAGGAAAGAAAUGGAAGCUGCCGACUGUAGGAAGCAGUACCUGUACUGCACAGGGUUGCAGUGACCUAACAUCAAGAAAUAAAAACUCUGGAAAACUAGCCCUUCGCAUAUAGAAGGAUCCUCCCAAAGAGCUGGAGCUCCUCUGCCCACAGCCUCCCCCAUCGGAUCAGACCUACAGUAGAAGACAGCAAGGAGUAAGCACUUUGGACUACCAGCUACUACAACUCUAGAAAAGUGGAGGCACAGAUAUGUGGGUCCCAGAGCCCUGCGGGAGCUGGAAUGGAUACUUGCUAAAACACGGGACAUGAGAUUCUCUUUCGUUUGGAAGGGUGCCGUCGUGGCCCUUCUUGGGUUCUGGACUGUCUUACAGUGUCUGACUUUGGUUUCUGUGGAUCAUGAUAAGCAUUACUCUUUUCUUCCCCCUCAAAUAUCCCACAGCUUCAAACUUACCUGAAUGCAGGUUCCCUGUAAAAAUGCCAUCAUGUAAUUUGCAUGUUAGCAAUCAGUUUGAUGAACGGCAAAAUUGUUCCAAUGGGAAAGACGAGAGAGAUAGUGUGGUCUUUUGACGGAAGGGGACAGGCAAGAGCCAGAUAAAUCAGAAGAGAGAGGCUCUUGCAGCCCAAGCCUUAAUUUCCUUGUAAGAAUUGAUGCUCACUCAGUGGUGACACUGAGCAUGUGAAAGCUCAACUGUGACACUCCUUAGA
This is a long non-coding RNA of Piliocolobus tephrosceles (Ugandan red Colobus), 1325 nucleotides long. RefSeq lists it as uncharacterized. The record is from RefSeq and is a predicted model, not a curated record. NCBI's taxonomy places the organism in Eukaryota, Metazoa, Chordata, Mammalia, Primates, Cercopithecidae. The transcript has 5 exons.